AUUGAACGCUGGCGGCAUGCCUUACACAUGCAAGUCGAACGGUAACGGGCCUUCGGGUGCCGACGAGUGGCGAACGGGUGAGUAAUACAUCGGAACGUGCCCGAUCGUGGGGGAUAACGAGGCGAAAGCUUUGCUAAUACCGCAUACGAUCUACGGAUGAAAGCAGGGGACCGCAAGGCCUUGCGCGGACGGAGCGGCCGAUGGCAGAUUAGGUAGUUGGUGGGAUAAAAGCUUACCAAGCCGACGAUCUGUAGCUGGUCUGAGAGGAUGAUCAGCCACACUGGGACUGAGACACGGCCCAGACUUCUACGGGAGGCAGCAGUGGGGAAUUUUGGACAAUGGGCGCAAGCCUGAUCCAGCCAUGCCGCGUGCAGGAUGAAGGCCUUCGGGUUGUAAACUGCUUUUGUACGGAACGAAAAGCCUUCUUUUAAUACAGGAGGGUCAUGACGGUACCGUAAGAAUAAGCACCGGCUAACUACGUG
RNAcentral lists this ribosomal RNA (482 nucleotides) under uncultured bacterium. RNAcentral's name for it is "partial 16S ribosomal RNA". It matches the Rfam family "Bacterial small subunit ribosomal RNA", at positions 30 to 507 of the family's 1533-position model. The record is from RNAcentral.